UAUAUACCACAUCUUAUUUAUUCAUUCAUCAGUCAAUGGACAGUUGGACUCUUUCCAUGGUUUGGCUAUUGUUGAUAAUGCUGCUAUAAACAUCAUGGUGCAUGUGUCCCUUCAAAUCAGUAUUUUUGUAUUCUUUGGAUAAAUACCUAGUAGUGCAAUUGCCAGGUCAUAGGGUAGUUCUAUUUUCAACUUUUUGAGGAACCUCUGUACUGUUUUCCAGAGUGGCUAUACCAGUUUGCAUUCCUACCAACAGUUUAAGAGGGCUCCCCUUUCUCUGCAUCCUUGCCAACAGCUGUUGUUUCCUGUGUUGUUAAUGUUAGCCAUUCUGACAGGUGUGAGGUGGUAUCUCAUCAUGGUUUUGAUUUGUAUUUCCUUGAAGAUGAGUGAUAUUGAGCAUUUUUCAUGUGCCUGUUAGCCAUCUGUAGGUCUUCUUUGGAAAAAUGUCUGUUUGUGUCUUCUGCCCAUUUCUUAACUGGAUUAUUUGCUUUUUGGGUGUUCACUGCCUUUCUUAGUCUUUCUCUUGGGGGAGUUAUUAUUAGUUAUUUUGAUCUCUGUCAUGCUCAUCCCCCCAAACUAGUGGUUUUACAGUUACUUCCUCUUGGUCUUCAUAGCCCCCAGCUUAGAACCAGAUUUCCUAGUGUCCGGUCGGGUGUCAAUGCUGUCAUAAUGUGGGAGUGCUGCUGAUCCUGUCACUGGGCCAGGGAACCAGUUCUUCUUCAUGUGGGGCUAAGAAGUUUGGUGUAAGUCUCAGCUCUGGAAGCAGUUAUGCAUUUUAUGCCCCUGGUUCUUGGGUGUGGGAUCCCCAUACGGUCCCUGGUUUGGGGACACCUCCUCAUGUGGUAUUCCCCAUCUCACCAUAACAGAAAAGCUCCUCACCACCUCUGCCUGCUUCUUGUCCUGGAGACUCAUGAUCCCACAGCAUCAUCCAGCUUACAGUGCCAUGGACCUGCUGUUCUGAUCUUUGGAGAUGUGCAUCUUUUUGACCUCGCUUUCCGGUCUCUCCUUGGCUUGUAAAGGCAGAACUACAUUAGGACGUCAGACACCUGCAGCGUUGUACUUUCAGGUGCAGUACAGGGGACGUACAAGCCUGCGCCCACUGCGGAAGUUCUCCAAAGGACGAUGCUGACCUUACCAGCGUGUGGCAAAACAAGUACAUGAGGCGGCUCUGGGGGCCUGGGAUGCAGCAGUGAAAACACAACACAAGGUUCCUGCCCUUGUGGUGUUCAUAGUCCAGUGGAGGAAGACCGGCAGACAAGAGGCAAGUACCUGUAUAUCAGAGGUUGGUAAGUGCUGGGGAGACAAUUAGCAAGGCGAGGGCGAGGGAAGUGCUGGGGAGGGGAUAAGGUGGUCAGGGAAGGCCUGAGAAGAUUCGGUUUGAGCCACAGAGAUCUCUGAAGGAAGUAGAACAUUCCAGGCAGGAAGAAUAUCAGGACACAGGCUUGGGGCAGGACACUUGCCGGACACUUUCCAGGACAGCAAGGAGCCCAGUGAGGCUGGCGUGGGCUGAGUGGUGGGGCAGUGAUAGGAGGUGAGUGUGUGCGGAGGCAGAGGGUGGAUGGCGUGGGGCCUCAUGGACUUUAGGCCACUUGCCAAGGGAGCCCUGGGAGGGUUUUGAGAGGAGGAGUGAACUGGUCUGAGUGUUAAAAGGAUCUCUCUAGGAGACCCGAGAUACCCCCUUUAUCUGUUUGGCAGCUGCACCUGCUAAACUGUAGUCCCUCAGCUAAAUCAGGGGAAAGACAAAGAAACCAGUCUUUGUGGUUCCAUCCUUGGUCCUCUUACCACACUUCUCAUUAGUGGAACCACCUGUCUGUGCAUGGCAUAUGCAUGGUCCUCUCCCCUCUUCUUUUGCAGGGCGGUUCCCUGCCCACCUCCUACCUCAUCAGGCAUUUACACUUUAGUGAGAUCAAGGAUGUGUAUCUCAUUACUGUCUCCAAGGUUAUGAGUUGAAUUGUGGCACCCAAAAGAUAUAUUGAAGGCCUAAUUUUCCAGUACCUCAGAAUGUGACCUUAUUUGGAAAUAAAGUCAUUGCAGAUGUAAUUUAGUUCAGAUAAGGUCAUACUAGAGUAGGGAGCACUCUUGGUGCAAUAUGAUUGGUGUCCUUGUAAGAGAGGGACGCCGAGGAUUGCUGGAAACCCCUCACAGCUAGGAAGAGGCAAGGGAAGAUCCUCCCCUAGAGAACUCAGAGGGAGUAUGACCCUGCCAGCACCCUGAUUUCAGACGUCCGGCCUCCGGAACUGUGAGAGAACAAAUUUCUGUUGCUUUAAGCCACCCAGGUUGUGGCACUUAGUUAUGGCAACCUGAGGAAGCCAAUGCCAGGGAUAUUAUCUCUUUUAGAGACUUUCUUCUAAUUGCGAUGCUCUGUUUUGGGGGCAUCCUGGAGCUGCAUGAGAAUUCAGAAGGGCCUAUUUCUCUCCAUGGCCGGGGUCUGUUCACAGGUCAGGGACACAGAGUGAUCAAAACAGAGUGCCCUUCAAACAAACACUUGCGUGCAAAUAUUCAUUGCAACAUCACUUAAAAUAGUGGAAGUUACAAACGACCCAAAUGUCCGUCAGCUGACCAAUGGCUAAAGAAAACGUGGCAUAUCCAUACAUGGAGUAGUAUCCAGCCAUAAAAGAAACAGAAUAGUGCUUUGAGCUACAACACGCAUGGGCCUCGAAAACAUUAUGGUAAGUGAAAGAAGGCAGACACAAAAAGCCACAUGUGGUAUGAUCCUAUUUAUAUGAAAUGGCCACAGUCCACGGAGACAGAAAGCACAUUAGUGAUUGCCAGGGGCUGUGUGUGGGAGGAACGGACAGUGACUGGUUCAUGGGUCCGGAGUUUCCUUUCGAGGUGAUGAGAAUGUUCUGAAACUCGGUGGUGGUGAUGGUUGUACAAUCUUGUAAAAGUAUGAAAUGUCAUGGAAUUGUACACCUUAAAUGGUAGAUUUUAUGUUAUUUUACCACACGUAUACAUGAAACCCAGAGUUCCUGCCCCUGCAUUCAAGUGAGAGGAGACAGAUGAUUAACAAAUAAAUAUAUAUUUAAGAAUGAACAGGCCCAGGAGACUGUAAGGCUUGCUUUGGAUGUCAAGCAAUCUAGUGAGAGCUCUACCAGGGGCAUCUCCUGUCUGGGUGACCAUGCAGCACAAUCUCGACUAAGGUGAUAUAUAACCGGACCAUCCUAAUCUCAAUCCUGUACGGUGCGGUGAGGUCGGGGCAUGGGAGAAGAGGAGGAGGGGGGCCAUGUUUCCUUCAUGAUCUCCUUUUACAUGUGUUCCCUCCAACUGGUCACCACCUGUGUCACCACUUGCACUUUGCAAAAGAGGAAGCUGAUGCAGAAGGCGUGAGAAGUCUGAGGAAGAGACAAAGCUGAGAGGUGAGGAAACUGAGGCCAACAGAGAUGCAGAACUUUCCCAGUGUCACGAGAAUGUAAGUGGCGGAGCCAGGACUGGACGACUGGAGGAAAGGCCCUCAAGUAACCAGCCUCAAAAGCAGGAUGCAGCUAAUUGAAUGGGACGGUGAUGAUUCCUUCUUCAGUUGGUCAAACAGCUAAAUCCGCCUUCGAACCUGCGGCCGCGCAGCUCCCGUGACGUCCGUUUCUGCCUGUUUCGGGUUUGGGGGAUGUGCAGCCACACACCUUCCCUGUCUGUGCUCCAAGCCCACUAACAGCCCGUUCACACCACUCCAAGUUCAUUACUGCAGAGAGGUGGGAGCACAUAAGGGGAGUGAACCGGAGACUUAGGACUCAACUGCAACCAGGCACCUGCUGAAAAGUGAAGAAGCAGGACGCCCGGCCGGCUCAAGUCACCUCACGUGAAUAAUUAAGCCCCGAACAAGCUGAGGAAACAGUUUUCUGCAAGCAGGGAUUCUGGGAAAAUGUGAAGACCCGAGCCGAAUUAGCCCUACGUGUUGUUCUAAUGUGUGUUUAACUGUGUGUGGUUUUUGCACGUUUAACGCGUUAAGUGUGUGUGUAAAUAUCUUUGAAAGCCCAAAGUCCCAGGGUCUCCCACAGAGGCCACUGUGAGGACUGCACAGGUUUCCUGCAUUCCUGAGUCUUUGAGGCCCCGCUCCCUGGGGACUCUGCACAGAGAAGGAGGCCAGAGCCUGCAGGUGAGGGCCCCCUGGGUCCCUCUGCCAGAUACCUGGGGGUGAGUUACAGGUGUCCCCAGAGCAGCAGAUCCACACCAAGGGUUACCAAGGCAACACCUGCUCCUCCUGGGACAAGAGAGGAAGGGAGUGCUGACAGAGUAGGAUUGCAUGAGCUGCCUUUCCAGAGGGAUCUGGGCUAAAAAUACCCAUGCAGUUGGCACUUGCUGGGUUUCGGGAGCCUCUGCCUCAUGUCUGGCUCCUGGUGUUCUGACCCUCCAGUGCAGGGUGCAGGACCACGGGGGUGUGGAGGGCAGGCACUUGAGGAAAACCCCUGAUGGCCUUACCGGCUGUGGUGUGGGGGCCUGAGUCAGAGCUGGGGUGAAGAAGAGGAGGGACAUUGUCUUCCUGGCAGACGCAGGGCCUGUCUUGUUUGCCUGCAUCGGAAGUCAAUAGGUUGGUCACUCCUGGGCAGCCCACCUAGGGUAAUCAAAGCGCUGGCAGCUCCUGAGGGUACUGGAGACCGGUACAGAAUGCUCUUGAACUUGCCCGCCCUUUCUGAGAGGUCCCUGCCAGCCUGGGAUUUGCUGACCUGGGGCUUCCCGGCUCCUUGGGUCCCACGCUGCAGGGGCAAGCACUGAAGCAGAGAAAUGAGCUCAGACCCCUGCUCUUCCCAGGCUUCUAGUCUGUGCUUCUGAAGGCAGCCUUCAUGCUGGGCCUAUGUACAUAGACCAGGAGAGCUGAGGUCUGCGCUCAGCUUCAGUGUGUCCUGGGAUUCGGACAUCUGGGAAUCUCUGGGCAUCAAGGACCUCUGAGGCUGGCUAUUGAACAACCUGUGUGCCCUGCAGGUGGGUGAGGUGAGACUUGAGGCCCCCCAGGCAGUGCUCAGAUAGGCGACUAUGCGGCCAUCAGAGAGCCCACCUGGGUCAUGCAGAGUCCCCCCACCCCCACCCGCCUCUAGAGUGAUGCUCCUCAAACUUCAUGUGCCAGAGAAUCACUGUGUGCUUGUUAAAAUGCAGGUUCUGACUCAGCAGGUCUUUGUGGGGUCUGAACUCUGUAUUUCUUUUUCUUUUUUUUAGUUUAUUUAUUUUGAGAGAGAAAGAGCAAACAGGGCGGGGCGGGGGGGGGAGAGAGAGAGAGAGAGAGAGAGAGAGAGAGAGAGAGAAUCCCAAGCAGGCUCCACACUGUCAACACAGCUCAAUAUGGGGCUCGAACCCCACAAACCUGGAGAUCAUGACCUGAGCCGAGAUCAAGAGUCCCACGCCUGACUGACUGAGCCCCCAGGGUGCCCCUGAGAUUCUGUAUUUCUAAUAACAUCCUGGGUGGUACCCAUUUUGCAUUUCUGAACAUGAGGAAGGCUUAAGGGCAGUGGUUUUUAAACAGGGGAGCAAAUUUGUGGAGGCGUUUUAAAACUUCAGAUUCCUGGGCCCCGUCUGUGACUUCCUGAACUGGUCAUCACAUGGCAAGAUGUCCGAAAAGCUAACCGGUGACUUGAUGCAGGACUUUUGAUUUGCAACCACUGCCCUAGAGCCUUUAGUGGAUGGCUACACAUGGGAGAAUGCCUCCUCAAAACAAUGUGGUCCAAACAUUUCUCUAUUUUUAGUAAGAUUUGCCCUUUGCAAGCCUGGCCUACCAUUACUCACUCCUCAACAAAUAUUUAUUAAGUCUCUUCUGUGUUACCAUAAAGGUUUAUUCUUUCUUUUCUUGCUGGACAGAUAGAUGGCAGAUGACAGACUCUGUUUCAUGCCUCCAAGGCUGCAGAGCUGAAUCAGAGAAACCUCCAGUGGCUUAAGGUUCACUAGGUCCUUACCCAUCCCUUUCCCUCUCUGUGGCUGAGACUUCUCUGCGUGAGCCUGUGCAGCUCCUUCCUGGGAACCUCGCCUGGCAGGGAGGUUGGUCUGGUCUUAUCUGGCCCACACUAUUCAAAAAAGCAAAAAACAAGUAUAAAGCAAACAAACCCACUUGGCUUGACAUUUGAAAAUCCGAGGUUUCAUAUAAAAGUAGGGAUUUUUCCCUUAUCUAGAAAAAUCGGCAUAUUUGGCCACAUCACCGCCUCCUGGCAACAAUUGUUGCAGCUGGGCAACAAUUGGCUGCCCCUUUUGUAGGCUGUGCUCUGCAGUUGGGUCCGCUUUGGGGCUCCCUCCUGACAACAGCCCUCCUCACUCCAUUGCUUUAUGUAUUUGGUCUUCUAGGCACAUCUAUUAAUUUUUCAGGGCUGCCGUAACAAAUUACCACAAACUGAGCGGCUUCUAAGUACAGAAAUGCAUCCUUUUGUAGUUCUGGAGACCAGAAGUGUGAACUCAAGGUGCGGGCAGAGCCACGUUCCCUCAGAAGGCUCUAGGAGAAUCUUCCUCGCCUUUUCCUUGCUUCUGGUGGUUGCUGGCAGUCCUUGGCACUCCUUGACUUAUAGAUGCGUUACUCCCACCUCUGCCUCUGUUGUCACGUGGCCUUCUCUCCGUGUGUCCAUGUGU
Long non-coding RNA from Neofelis nebulosa (Clouded leopard), 6534 nucleotides. RefSeq lists it as uncharacterized. The transcript has 10 exons. The record is from RefSeq and is a predicted model, not a curated record. NCBI's taxonomy places the organism in Eukaryota, Metazoa, Chordata, Mammalia, Carnivora, Felidae.